RNAcentral lists this ribosomal RNA (439 nucleotides) under uncultured bacterium. RNAcentral's name for it is "partial 16S ribosomal RNA". It matches the Rfam family "Bacterial small subunit ribosomal RNA", at positions 338 to 795 of the family's 1533-position model. The record is from RNAcentral.
CCUACGGGAGGCAGCAGUGGGGAAUAUUGCACAAUGGGGGAAACCCUGAUGCAGCGACGCCGCGUGCGUGAAGAAGUAUUUCGGUAUGUAAAGCUCUAUCAGCAGGGAAGAAAAUGACGGUACCUGACCAAGAAGCCCCGGCUAACUACGUGCCAGCAGCCGCGGCAAUACGUAGGGGGCCAGCGUUAUCCGGAUUUACUGGGUGUAAGGGGAGCGUAGACGGUUGCACAAGUCGGGAGGAAAAGCCCGGGGUCAACCCCGGUACUGCUUUGGAAAACUCUUAACUGGAGUGGCGGAGAGGUAAGUGGAAUUCCUGGUGUAGCGGUGAAAUGCGUAGAUAUCAGGAGGAACACCGGUGGCGAAGGCAGCUUACUGGACUGUAACUGACGUUGAGGCACGAAAGCGUGGGGAGCGAACAGGAUUAGAUACCCGAGUAGUC